RNAcentral lists this ribosomal RNA (281 nucleotides) under uncultured bacterium. RNAcentral describes it as "partial 16S ribosomal RNA". It matches the Rfam family "Bacterial small subunit ribosomal RNA", at positions 74 to 354 of the family's 1533-position model. The record is from RNAcentral.
CCUGCACCUGCCGGCGACCGGCGCACGGGUGAGUAACACGUAUGGAACCUGCCCGCCACAGGGGGAUAACCCGGGGAAACCCGGCCUAAUACCCCAUGCCCGCCCGGACCGGGCAUCCGGUCCGGGCGAAAGGAGGAAUCCGAUGGCGGCUGGGCAUGCGGCGCAUUAGCUUGACGGCGGGGUAACGGCUCACCGUGGCGACGAUGCGGUAGGGGUUCUGAGAGGAACGGCCCCCCACACUGGAACUGAGACACGGUCCAGACUCCUACGGGAGGCAGCAG